GGCAGCAGCUAAGAAUAUUCCGCAAUGGUCGAAAGACUGACGGAGCGACGCCGCGUGAAUGAUGAAGGCCGUGAGGUUGUAAAGUUCUUUUCUGGAGGGAGAAUAAGUGUUGUAGGGAAUGACAACAUGAUGACGUGAAUCCAGGAAUAAGCCCCGGCUAACUACGUGCCAGCAGCCGCGGUAACACGUAGGGGGCAAGCGUUGUUCGGAAUUAUUGGGCGUAAAGGGUGCGCAGGCGGCUUGGCAAGUCUGCUGUUAAAUGGUUGAGCUCAACUCAAUCAUGCGGUGGAAACUAUCAAGCUAGAAUCAACGAAGGGAUGCCGGAAUUCCAGGUGUAGGGGUGAAAUCUGUAGAUAUCUGGAAGAACACCAAUGGCGAGGGCAGGCAUCUGGCGACUGAUUGACGCUGAGGCACGAAGGUGCGGGGAGCAAACAGGUUUAGAUAUCCUGGUAGUCCGCACAGUAAACGAUGUGCACUAGGUGGCGGGUAGCAGUACUCGGUACCGAAGCAAACGCAUUAAGUGCACCGCCUGGGGAGUAUGCUCGCAAGGGUGAAACUCAAAGGGAAUUGACGG
RNAcentral lists this ribosomal RNA (574 nucleotides) under uncultured rumen bacterium. RNAcentral's name for it is "bacterial SSU rRNA". It matches the Rfam family "Bacterial small subunit ribosomal RNA", at positions 347 to 916 of the family's 1533-position model. The record is from RNAcentral.